RNAcentral lists this ribosomal RNA (519 nucleotides) under Triticum aestivum (bread wheat). RNAcentral describes it as "partial small subunit ribosomal RNA". The record is from RNAcentral. Lineage: Eukaryota; Viridiplantae; Streptophyta; Magnoliopsida; Poales; Poaceae.
AUGAGCCGAGGCUUUUCUCCUCCUGGCUCAAAAUUCUUCAGAGAUGUUCUGAACUUUUUCGAUCUGCGACCUCAAGACAUUGGACCCAAUUCCGUGUCGAACAUUUGUAACUUUCAAGUGUUCUGUGAGGUAUAUCUUGGAGAGGAACCCAGCCUGCUACUCUUUAGGGAGUUAUUUUACCUGAACCGCCAGAAUGAAUGCGCCAACGGGCCUAGCUUGGAACUUGGUGGAAUAUCAAUUCAACGACGGAGGGAUUGUCUCUUUCCUUAUGCUGAGCCGCCAAGCCACCCAAAGGACUGGAAUCAGACAUGGUUCUACUGCCAGGAUACUUCUCCGGCUGAUGAGAACCCUCUGCCCGGCUUUCGCGCCCUGCGUCUGGAGUCAAACCACCCCUGCCAGACAAAUUGUCUCAAGCUGAGCGUCAACCACUUAUCCCCACCAUCAACAAAAUCAAAGCUCUUCUGGGAAACGGCCUUAACGGCGUUGAUCUGGUCCGGGUCUGGAUUGCUUGGCGGGUGA